AAGUCGAACGGGCACUUCGGUGCUAGUGGCGGACGGGUGAGUAACGCGUGGGAACAUGCCCUUUGGUACGGAAUAGCCUCGGGAAACUGGGAGUAAUACCGUAUGUGCCCUAACGGGGAAAGAUUUAUCGCCAAAGGAUUGGCCCGCGUUGGAUUAGGUAGUUGGUGGGGUAAUGGCCUACCAAGCCGACGAUCCAUAGCUGGUUUGAGAGGAUGAUCAGCCACACUGGGACUGAGACACGGCCCAGACUCCUACGGGAGGCAGCAGUGGGGAAUCUUAGACAAUGGGGGAAACCCUGAUCUAGCCAUGCCGCGUGAUCGAUGAAGGCCUUAGGGUUGUAAAGAUCUUUCAGUGGGGAAGAUAAUGACGGUACCCACAGAAGAAGCC
This 387-nucleotide ribosomal RNA is filed under the name grassland soil clone saf2_417. RNAcentral's name for it is "bacterial SSU rRNA". It matches the Rfam family "Bacterial small subunit ribosomal RNA", at positions 59 to 492 of the family's 1533-position model. The record is from RNAcentral.